Molecule: ribosomal RNA, 395 nt
Filed under: uncultured eukaryote
Lineage: Eukaryota
Description: SSU rRNA
Rfam family: Eukaryotic small subunit ribosomal RNA
Source: RNAcentral
AGCUCCAAUAGCGUAUAUUAAAAUUGUUGCGGUUAAAACGCUCGUAGUUGGAUAUUUGUUGGGGAAUACCGGUCUACCCAUAGUGGCCUGCACUCGGUAUAUCUCCGACAUCUCUUUGGUUAACUGCGUUCACUUCAUUGUGCGCGUAGAUGAGCCAAAACUUUUACUUUGAGGAAAUGAGAGUGUUUCAAGCAGGCCUAGCCAUGAAUACGUUAGCAUGGAAUAAUAGCAUAGGACCUUGUGUCGUAUCUGUUGGUUGACGACACCUGGUAAUAAAAUAGGGAUAGUUGGGGGCAUUCGUAUUGCAUAGUCAGAGGUGAAAUUCUUAGAUUUGUGCAAGACGGACUACUGCGAAAGCAUUUGCCAAGGAUGUUUUUAUUAAUCAAGACGAAAGU